AGAGUUUCGAUCCUGGCUCAGGACGAACGGCUGGCGGCGUACUUAACACAUGCAAGUCGAACGGAGCACCCCUGAAGGAGUUUUCGGACAACGGAAGGGAAUGCUUAGUGGCGGACUGGUGAGUAACGCGUGAGGAACCUGCCUUCCAGAGGGGGACAACAGUUGGAAACGACUGCUAAUACCGCAUGAAACAUUUGAACCGCAUGGUUUGAAUGUCAAAGAUUUAUCGCUGGAAGAUGGCCUCGCGUCUGAUUAGCUAGUAGGCGGGGUAACGGCCCACCUAGGCGACGAUCAGUAGCCGGACUGAGAGGUUGACCGGCCACAUUGGGACUGAGAUACGGCCCAGACUCCUACGGGAGGCAGCAGUGGGGAAUAUUGGGCAAUGGGCGCAAGCCUGACCCAGCAACGCCGCGUGAAGGAAGAAGGCUUUCGGGUUGUAAACUUCUUUCAAGAGGGAAGGGAAGAAGACGGUACCUCUUGAAUAAGCCACGGCUAACUACGUG
Molecule: ribosomal RNA, 503 nt
Filed under: uncultured Oscillibacter sp.
Lineage: Bacteria; Bacillati; Bacillota; Clostridia; Eubacteriales; Oscillospiraceae
Description: bacterial SSU rRNA
Rfam family: Bacterial small subunit ribosomal RNA
Source: RNAcentral